This 514-nucleotide ribosomal RNA is filed under the name uncultured bacterium. RNAcentral's name for it is "partial 16S ribosomal RNA". It matches the Rfam family "Bacterial small subunit ribosomal RNA", at positions 28 to 523 of the family's 1533-position model. The record is from RNAcentral.
GAUGAACGCUGGCGGCGUGCCUAAUACAUGCAAGUCGAGCGAACAGAUGAGAAGCUUGCUUCUCUGAUGUUAGCGGCGGACGGGUGAGUAACACGUGGGUAACCUACCUAUAAGACUGGGAUAACUCCGGGAAACCGGGGCUAAUACCGGAUAAUAUUUUGAACCGCAUGGUUCAAUAGUGAACGAAGGGUUAGGCUGUCAAUUAUAGAUGGACCCGUGCCGUAUUAUGCAGUUGGUAAGGUAACGGCUUACCAAGGCGACGAUACGUAGCCGACCUGAGAGGGUGAUCGGCCACACUGGAACUGAGACACGGUCCAGACUCCUACGGGAGGCAGCAGUAGGGAAUCUUCCGCAAUGGGCGAAAGCCUGACGGAGCAACGCCGCGUGAGUGAUGAAGGUCUUCGGAUCGCAAAACUCUGUUGUUAGGGAAGAACAAAUUUGUUAGUAACUGAACAAGUCUUGACGGUACCUAACCAGAAAGCCACGGCUAACUACGUGCCAGCAGCCGCCGUAA